This 506-nucleotide ribosomal RNA is filed under the name Brevicoryne brassicae (cabbage aphid). RNAcentral's name for it is "partial 16S ribosomal RNA". The record is from RNAcentral. Lineage: Eukaryota; Metazoa; Arthropoda; Insecta; Hemiptera; Aphididae.
AUUAAGUUUAAUUUAAUAUAGGAUCUGCUCAAUGAUUUAUUAAAUAGCUGCAGUAUUUUGACUGUGCAAAGGUAGCAUAAUAAUUAGUCUUUUAAUUGAGGACUUGUAUGAAAGAUUUGAUGAGAAAUAAACUUUAUUAUCUAUAUAAUUAAAAUUUUAUUUUUAAGUUAAAAAGCUUAAAUUAUUUAAAGGGACGAUAAGACCCUAUAAAACUUUAUAAAUAUUAAUUUUAAUUUUUUUGGAAUAUAAAUAUUUUAGUUUUAAUAUUUAUUUUAUUGGGGUGAUAAAAAAAUUUAAUUAACUUUUUUUAAAAUUUUACAUUAUUUAAUGGAUAGUUGAAUUAAAAUUUUUAAUUAAAGGAAAAAGUUACUUUAGGGAUAACAGCGUAAUUAAUUUUUUAAGUUCAAAUUUAAAAAUUAGUUUGCGACCUCGAUGUUGAAUUAAGAUUAAUCUUAGGUGCAAAAUUUUAAGUAUUAGGUCUGUUCGACCUUUAAAUUCUUACGUGA